Molecule: ribosomal RNA, 468 nt
Filed under: uncultured bacterium
Lineage: Bacteria
Description: partial 16S ribosomal RNA
Rfam family: Bacterial small subunit ribosomal RNA
Source: RNAcentral
GAUGAACGCUGGCGGCGUGCUUAACACAUGCAAGUCGAACGGAAAGGCCGAAGCUUGCUUCGGUACUCGAGUGGCGAACGGGUGAGUAACACGUGGGUGAUCUGCCCUGUACUUCGGGAUAAGCUUGGGAAACUGGGUCUAAUACCGGAUAUGACGAUCUCUUGGAUGGGGUUGUGGAAAGCUUUUGCGGUAUGGGAUGAGCUCGCGGCCUAUCAGCUUGUUGGUGGGGUAAUGGCCUACCAAGGCGUCGACGGGUAGCCGGCCUGAGAGGGUGGACGGCCACAUUGGGACUGAGAUACGGCCCAGACUCCUACGGGAGGCAGCAGUGGGGAAUAUUGCACAAUGCGCGCAAGCCUGAUGCAGCGACGCCGCGUGGGGGAUGACGGCCUUCGGGUUGUAAACUCCUUUCGCAGUCGACGAAGCCUUUUGGUGACGGUAGGUUGAGAAGAAGCACCGGCUAACUACGUG